RNAcentral lists this long non-coding RNA (379 nucleotides) under Homo sapiens (human). RNAcentral describes it as "PREDICTED lncRNA (TCONS_00261836)". The record is from RNAcentral. Lineage: Eukaryota; Metazoa; Chordata; Mammalia; Primates; Hominidae.
AUUUAACAUAGAUAUUUCUAGAAUAUGCAUAUUCUGAAUAUAUGAAACAUCUAAGCUUGACAUUAUUUGUACAUAAAGCCCUUUGACUUGGAGUCAAGAUGUGCUGUACAGUUUGGUGCUGAGUGCUCUGGACGCCCCAGCAGGGCCGGAGAAAAUCUGCAGAGGCAGCAGCAACUGACCCUAACAGAGCAAGAGGCCUGACCUUCACACCUAUGUAACCCAAGGUCACAGAAAUGCUGAGGGGCCAUGUGACUCCAGUGAAGCAGGAGUAUCCAUCCAGCCACAGAGAUGGGACCUGUCCAAAUGGGACCUGUCUGUUCCAAAGGUUAUUCUGCUUGAAAAUCAGGCCAGGCAUGGUGGCUCACAACUGUAAUCCCAG